CUUAGGUGGAGACCAGCACCCACCCUAAAAAACGGGGCGCAACCGAAAAGCCAUACGAGUAGGACCGAU
This is a non-coding RNA of Cytophagales bacterium, 69 nucleotides long. The record is from Rfam. NCBI's taxonomy places the organism in Bacteria, Pseudomonadati, Bacteroidota, Cytophagia, Cytophagales.